AGAGCAGCUCCCUUUUAAGGAGACGGUCGUAGGUUCGAUUCCUACUGGGCG
Molecule: transfer RNA, 51 nt
Filed under: Candidatus Yonathbacteria bacterium
Lineage: Bacteria; Candidatus Yonathiibacteriota
Description: tRNA-Ser
Rfam family: tRNA
About the family: Transfer RNA (tRNA) molecules are approximately 80 nucleotides in length.
Source: RNAcentral